ACAGGUGCUGCAUGGCUGUCGUCAGCUCGUGUCGUGAGAUGUUGGGUUAAGUCCCGUAACGAGCGCAACCCUCGUUCUGUGUUACCAGCAUUAAGUUGGGGACUCACAGGAGACUGCCGGGGUCAACUCGGAGGAAGGUGGGGAUGACGUCAAAUCAUCAUGCCCCUUAUGUCUUGGGCUGCACGCAUGCUACAAUGGCCGGUACAAAGUGCUGCGAGAUCGUAAGAUUGAGCGAAUCACAUAAAGCCGGUCUCAGUUCGGAUUGAGGUCUGCAACUCGACCUCAUGAAGUCGGAGUUGCUAGUAAUCGUAGAUCAGCAACGCUACGGUGAAUACGUUCCCGGGUCUUGUACACACCG
RNAcentral lists this ribosomal RNA (358 nucleotides) under uncultured bacterium. Its description in RNAcentral is "bacterial SSU rRNA". It matches the Rfam family "Bacterial small subunit ribosomal RNA", at positions 1034 to 1392 of the family's 1533-position model. The record is from RNAcentral.